AACCAGCACCUCAAGUGGUCAGGAUGAUUAUUGGGCCUAAAGCAUCCGUAGCCUGUUCUAUAAGUUUGCGGUUAAAUCUAUGCGCUCAACGUAUAGGCUGCCGUAAAUACUGUAGAACUAGGGAGUGGGAGAGGUAGACGGUACUCGAUAGGAAGGGUAAAAUCCUUUGAUCUAUUGAUGACCACCUGUGGCGAAGGCGGUCUACCAGAACACGUUCGACGGUGAGGGAUGAAAGCUGGGGGAGCAAACCGG
Molecule: ribosomal RNA, 252 nt
Filed under: uncultured archaeon
Lineage: Archaea
Description: partial 16S ribosomal RNA
Rfam family: Archaeal small subunit ribosomal RNA
Source: RNAcentral